Molecule: ribosomal RNA, 1490 nt
Filed under: uncultured bacterium
Lineage: Bacteria
Description: bacterial SSU rRNA
Rfam family: Bacterial small subunit ribosomal RNA
Source: RNAcentral
AGAGUUUGAUCCUGGCUCAGGAUGAACGCUAGCUACAGGCUUAACACAUGCAAGUCGAGGGGCAUCAGGAAGAAAGCUUGCUUUCUUUGCUGGCGACCGGCGCACGGGUGAGUAACACGUAUCCAACCUGCCCUUUACUCGGGGAUAGCCUUUCGAAAGAAAGAUUAAUACCCGAUGGCAUAAUGAUUCCGCAUGGUUUCAUUAUUAAAGGAUUCCGGUAAAGGAUGGGGAUGCGUUCCAUUAGGUUGUUGGUGAGGUAACGGCCCACCAAGCCUUCGAUGGAUAGGGGUUCUGAGAGGAAGGUCCCCCACAUUGGAACUGAGACACGGUCCAAACUCCUACGGGAGGCAGCAGUGAGGAAUAUUGGUCAAUGGGCGCUAGCCUGAACCAGCCAAGUAGCGUGAAGGAUGAAGGCUCUAUGGGUCGUAAACUUCUUUUAUAUAAGAAUAAAGUGCAGUAUGUAUACUGUUUUGUAUGUAUUAUAUGAAUAAGGAUCGGCUAACUCCGUGCCAGCAGCCGCGGUAAUACGGAGGAUCCGAGCGUUAUCCGGAUUUAUUGGGUUUAAAGGGAGCGUAGGUGGACUGGUAAGUCAGUUGUGAAAGUUUGCGGCUCAACCGUAAAAUUGCAGUUGAUACUGUCAGUCUUGAGUACAGUAGAGGUGGGCGGAAUUCGUGGUGUAGCGGUGAAAUGCUUAGAUAUCACGAAGAACUCCGAUUGCGAAGGCAGCUCACUGGACUGCAACUGACACUGAUGCUCGAAAGUGUGGGUAUCAAACAGGAUUAGAUACCCUGGUAGUCCACACAGUAAACGAUGAAUACUCGCUGUUUGCGAUAUACAGUAAGCGGGCAAGCGAAAGCAUUAAGUAUUCCACCUGGGGAGUACGCCGGCAACGGUGAAACUCAAAGGAAUUGACGGGGGCCCGCACAAGCGGAGGAACAUGUGGUUUAAUUCGAUGAUACGCGAGGAACCUUACCCGGGCUUAAAUUGCAGUGGAAUGAUGUGGAAACAUGUCAGUGAGCAAUCACCGCUGUGAAGGUGCUGCAUGGUUGUCGUCAGCUCGUGCCGUGAGGUGUCGGCUUAAGUGCCAUAACGAGCGCAACCCUUAUCUUUAGUUACUAACAGGUCAUGCUGAGGACUCUGGAGAGACUGCCGUCGUAAGAUGUGAGGAAGGUGGGGAUGACGUCAAAUCAGCACGGCCCUUACGUCCGGGGCUACACACGUGUUACAAUGGGGGGUACAGAAGGCAGCUAGCGGGUGACCGUAUGCUAAUCCCAAAAGCCUCUCUCAGUUCGGAUCGAAGUCUGCAACCCGACUUCGUGAAGCUGGAUUCGCUAGUAAUCGCGCAUCAGCCACGGCGCGGUGAAUACGUUCCCGGGCCUUGUACACACCGCCCGUCAAGCCAUGGGAGCCGGGGGUACCUGAAGUACGUAACCGCAAGGAUCGUCCUAGGGUAAAACUGGUGACUGGGGCUAAGUCGUAACAAGGUAGCC